GACGAACGCUGGCGGCGUGCUUAACACAUGCAAGUCGAACGGAAAGGCCCUGCUUUUGUGGGGUGCUCGAGUGGCGAACGGGUGAGUAACACGUGAGUAACCUGCCCUUGACUUUGGGAUAACUUCAGGAAACUGGGGCUAAUACCGGAUAGGAGCUCCUGCUGCAUGGUGGGGGUUGGAAAGUUUCGGCGGUUGGGGAUGGACUCGCGGCUUAUCAGCUUGUUGGUGGGGUAGUGGCUUACCAAGGCUUUGACGGGUAGCCGGCCUGAGAGGGUGACCGGCCACAUUGGGACUGAGAUACGGGCCAGACUGCUACGGGAGGCAGCAGUGGGGAAUAUUGCACGAUGGGCGGAAGCCUGAUGCAGCAACGCCGCGUGCGGGAUGACGGCCUUCGGGUUGUAAACCGCUUUCGCCUGUGACGAAGCGUGAGUGACGGUAAUGGGUAAAGAAGCACCGGCUAACUACGUG
RNAcentral lists this ribosomal RNA (468 nucleotides) under uncultured bacterium. Its description in RNAcentral is "partial 16S ribosomal RNA". It matches the Rfam family "Bacterial small subunit ribosomal RNA", at positions 28 to 507 of the family's 1533-position model. The record is from RNAcentral.